This is a long non-coding RNA of Glycine soja, 611 nucleotides long. RefSeq lists it as uncharacterized. The transcript is spliced from 3 exons. The record is from RefSeq and is a predicted model, not a curated record. NCBI's taxonomy places the organism in Eukaryota, Viridiplantae, Streptophyta, Magnoliopsida, Fabales, Fabaceae.
GAAUCCUUUGAACUUGAGACAGGUUGUGGGUGUUACUGUUUUAAUUUUGACCAAACUGGAUGGUUCUGCUAGAGGUGGCUGUGUGGUCAGUGUGGUUGAUGAGCUUGGAAUCCCUGUAAAAUUUGUGGGUGUUGGUGAAGGUGUUGAAGACCUUCAACCCUUUGAUGCGGAGACCUUUGUCAAUGCCAUUUGUAUUUAAACCAAUAUUGUGGGUUUGCAAAAACAGCUUGACAUGAACAUUCAGAGCAACACCUGGUCAACAGGAAAGAUGGCACUUUAUUAUGGAAACUGUUAUUGGGAAGGGGCCAAGCAUUGCGAAUAAGUGUACAUGAUUUUGAGGUGCAGAGCUGUUGUUGCUUUUGAGGCACGCUGAGUGUAUACAAUCUUCCUUUUGCAUGCUAUGUCUGAAAGUUUCUGAAAAUGCAAAUGAGACAUAGGGUUUAUAAUCACUCCUGUUUAUGAACAGAAGGAUUUUAUUGUGGUGUGCAUGUAGAUGAUACUUAAGGAAAAUGUAAACACGUUGCUCCAUUGUCUGUCAACAUCUGAUUAAUGACAACUAUUUUUAUUUCUUUGACCUCUCAACGAGGUUAACCUACUGUGUCGUACAUACA